GUAAACUACUUUGAAUGAUGAGCAGAGGUGUACGAUCACACAGCAGUUACUCUGGUGUUUGACAACUGUAUGCAAAUCUUUACAGCUUUACCCCAGCUGUGCCUGCCGUUGAGUUCGCUGAUCAUGCAUGACCAAAAAAAAAAUCUGUUUUGCUUUACAGACCUGCAGUUAUCUCACAUUGCUGCGAAUUAGUCACUUGGCUGCCCAUCAUUUUGGAGGGAAUAUAAAAUAAUGAAUAAGAAACUACAAUAAUCCUUUGACUUAUCAACCACACGACUAUGUGCAAAUUUCAAUAAAAAUGCACUUCAAUGCUUUAUAUCGUGGUUUGGGGGCAUAACAAAGUCAUAUUGUGCAACUAGACACUGAGGUUGUUUAUUUUUUUUUAUUUUUUAUUUUUUUACAUGGACUGAAAUUUGUUUUAAGGUUGUCAAUCAAGACCAUAGGGG
Xyrichtys novacula (pearly razorfish) is the source of this 446-nucleotide non-coding RNA. The record is from the annotation of a GenBank genome assembly. NCBI's taxonomy places the organism in Eukaryota, Metazoa, Chordata, Actinopteri, Labriformes, Labridae.